Molecule: ribosomal RNA, 2905 nt
Filed under: Escherichia coli O157:H7
Lineage: Bacteria; Pseudomonadati; Pseudomonadota; Gammaproteobacteria; Enterobacterales; Enterobacteriaceae
Description: 23S ribosomal RNA
Rfam family: Bacterial large subunit ribosomal RNA
Source: RNAcentral
GGUUAAGCGACUAAGCGUACACGGUGGAUGCCCUGGCAGUCAGAGGCGAUGAAGGACGUGCUAAUCUGCGAUAAGCGUCGGUAAGGUGAUAUGAACCGUUAUAACCGGCGAUUUCCGAAUGGGGAAACCCAGUGUGAUUCGUCACACUAUCAUUAACUGAAUCCAUAGGUUAAUGAGGCGAACCGGGGGAACUGAAACAUCUAAGUACCCCGAGGAAAAGAAAUCAACCGAGAUUCCCCCAGUAGCGGCGAGCGAACGGGGAGGAGCCCAGAGCCUGAAUCAGUGUGUGUGUUAGUGGAAGCGUCUGGAAAGGCGCGCGAUACAGGGUGACAGCCCCGUACACAAAAAUGCACAUACUGUGAGCUCGAUGAGUAGGGCGGGACACGUGGUAUCCUGUCUGAAUAUGGGGGGACCAUCCUCCAAGGCUAAAUACUCCUGACUGACCGAUAGUGAACCAGUACCGUGAGGGAAAGGCGAAAAGAACCCCGGCGAGGGGAGUGAAAAAGAACCUGAAACCGUGUACGUACAAGCAGUGGGAGCACAGAGCAAUCUGUGUGACUGCGUACCUUUUGUAUAAUGGGUCAGCGACUUAUAUUCUGUAGCAAGGUUAACCGAAUAGGGGAGCCGAAGGGAAACCGAGUCUUAACCGGGCGUUAAGUUGCAGGGUAUAGACCCGAAACCCGGUGAUCUAGCCAUGGGCAGGUUGAAGGUUGGGUAACACUAACUGGAGGACCGAACCGACUAAUGUUGAAAAAUUAGCGGAUGACUUGUGGCUGGGGGUGAAAGGCCAAUCAAACCGGGAGAUAGCUGGUUCUCCCCGAAAGCUAUUUAGGUAGCGCCUCGUGAAUUCAUCUCCGGGGGUAGAGCACUGUUUCGGCAAGGGGGUCAUCCCGACUUACCAACCCGAUGCAAACUGCGAAUACCGGAGAAUGUUAUCACGGGAGACACACGGCGGGUGCUAACGUCCGUCGUGAAGAGGGAAACAACCCAGACCGCCAGCUAAGGUCCCAAAGUCAUGGUUAAGUGGGAAACGAUGUGGGAAGGCCCAGACAGCCAGGAUGUUGGCUUAGAAGCAGCCAUCAUUUAAAGAAAGCGUAAUAGCUCACUGGUCGAGUCGGCCUGCGCGGAAGAUGUAACGGGGCUAAACCAUGCACCGAAGCUGCGGCAGCGACACUGUGUGUUGUUGGGUAGGGGAGCGUUCUGUAAGCCUGUGAAGGUGUACUGUGAGGUAUGCUGGAGGUAUCAGAAGUGCGAAUGCUGACAUAAGUAACGAUAAAGCGGGUGAAAAGCCCGCUCGCCGGAAGACCAAGGGUUCCUGUCCAACGUUAAUCGGGGCAGGGUGAGUCGACCCCUAAGGCGAGGCCGAAAGGCGUAGUCGAUGGGAAACAGGUUAAUAUUCCUGUACUUGGUGUUACUGCGAAGGGGGGACGGAGAAGGCUAUGUUGGCCGGGCGACGGUUGUCCCGGUUUAAGCGUGUAGGCUGGUUUUCCAGGCAAAUCCGGAAAAUCAAGGCUGAGGCGUGAUGACGAGGCACUACGGUGCUGAAGCAACAAAUGCCCUGCUUCCAGGAAAAGCCUCUAAGCAUCAGGUAACAUCAAAUCGUACCCCAAACCGACACAGGUGGUCAGGUAGAGAAUACCAAGGCGCUUGAGAGAACUCGGGUGAAGGAACUAGGCAAAAUGGUGCCGUAACUUCGGGAGAAGGCACGCUGAUAUGUAGGUGAAGUCCCUCGCGGAUGGAGCUGAAAUCAGUCGAAGAUACCAGCUGGCUGCAACUGUUUAUUAAAAACACAGCACUGUGCAAACACGAAAGUGGACGUAUACGGUGUGACGCCUGCCCGGUGCCGGAAGGUUAAUUGAUGGGGUCAGCGCAAGCGAAGCUCUUGAUCGAAGCCCCGGUAAACGGCGGCCGUAACUAUAACGGUCCUAAGGUAGCGAAAUUCCUUGUCGGGUAAGUUCCGACCUGCACGAAUGGCGUAAUGAUGGCCAGGCUGUCUCCACCCGAGACUCAGUGAAAUUGAACUCGCUGUGAAGAUGCAGUGUACCCGCGGCAAGACGGAAAGACCCCGUGAACCUUUACUAUAGCUUGACACUGAACAUUGAGCCUUGAUGUGUAGGAUAGGUGGGAGGCUUUGAAGUGUGGACGCCAGUCUGCAUGGAGCCGACCUUGAAAUACCACCCUUUAAUGUUUGAUGUUCUAACGUGGACCCGUGAUCCGGGUUGCGGACAGUGUCUGGUGGGUAGUUUGACUGGGGCGGUCUCCUCCUAAAGAGUAACGGAGGAGCACGAAGGUUGGCUAAUCCUGGUCGGACAUCAGGAGGUUAGUGCAAUGGCAUAAGCCAGCUUGACUGCGAGCGUGACGGCGCGAGCAGGUGCGAAAGCAGGUCAUAGUGAUCCGGUGGUUCUGAAUGGAAGGGCCAUCGCUCAACGGAUAAAAGGUACUCCGGGGAUAACAGGCUGAUACCGCCCAAGAGUUCAUAUCGACGGCGGUGUUUGGCACCUCGAUGUCGGCUCAUCACAUCCUGGGGCUGAAGUAGGUCCCAAGGGUAUGGCUGUUCGCCAUUUAAAGUGGUACGCGAGCUGGGUUUAGAACGUCGUGAGACAGUUCGGUCCCUAUCUGCCGUGGGCGCUGGAGAACUGAGGGGGGCUGCUCCUAGUACGAGAGGACCGGAGUGGACGCAUCACUGGUGUUCGGGUUGUCAUGCCAAUGGCACUGCCCGGUAGCUAAAUGCGGAAGAGAUAAGUGCUGAAAGCAUCUAAGCACGAAACUUGCCCCGAGAUGAGUUCUCCCUGACCCUUUAAGGGUCCUGAAGGAACGUUGAAGACGACGACGUUGAUAGGCCGGGUGUGUAAGCGCAGCGAUGCGUUGAGCUAACCGGUACUAAUGAACCGUGAGGCUUAACCUU